This is a long non-coding RNA of Felis catus (domestic cat), 5337 nucleotides long. RefSeq lists it as uncharacterized. The record is from RefSeq and is a predicted model, not a curated record. The transcript is spliced from 5 exons. Lineage: Eukaryota; Metazoa; Chordata; Mammalia; Carnivora; Felidae.
ACAGAGAAAGGGAGCAUUGUUGGCAUGGAGCCCCAUGCAGGCUUAAUCUCACAAAUUGUGACAUCAUUACCUGAGCCAAAAUCAAGAGUUGGAUGUUUAACUGACUGAGACAGCCAGGAACACCUGUCCUUUACUAUUUUUAAGAGUGCUCGUUAUGACAGCACUUCCUAACCACUCUGUCAUGGGUGGAAGAGCCUCUGGUGACCUUGGAAAGCACAGCCGUCCUUCAGGAAGUUUCCUGUGGAGCCUGGGAUGCCUGGGAUACCCACUCUGAGCAAGAAAGACCAUUGAAGGCUCAGAUCCCCUAGAAGACUCACUCCUCCUGUGAUAGCACAACCUCAGCUGGUUCUGUCAGAGCUUCUUGUCAAAGGUAUAUCCUGAUAUUUCUUGCUCCUCCAUUUCUUUGCUCUCAUUCAUCUUCCCCACGAUGUGUUCCUGAGACGAAGCAACUCAACUUCCAGUUGUCCCUGAACUCCCUGUACUUCCACACUUCAGUCCUCCCUGGUUUGAUUCCCAGCACUGUGGCAUUUAAACUUUGGAAGGAAUCAACUAAAUGGUUUUCACACUGGGAUCUCAUUAUAGCAAGAACCUUGGUUUGUGCUCAGGGGCAUGUGCUCAGCUAAAGAACCUCAUUUCCCAACCUAGCUUGCAGCUAGUACCAUCGAUGUGACAAAGGUCUGGCUCAUGAGAAGUAAACUGAAGGUUUCUGGGUAAGCUCUACUUCCUUAAUAUAAGCACCACUCCUUCUUUCUUCCUCUUUUACUUCCUCCUGUUGCUUAGAAUGCAGAAAUCGUGAAUGGAGAUAAUGCGGCCAUUGGGAGAGAAUGAGAACAAGGUUCUCAGCCUAAGAAUGGCAGAGCAGAAAGCUAGAGGUGCCUGGGUCCAGAUAAUCUAUGUGGAGUUCUCCUCUAUCUUCUCUGAGUUUUAUGUUAUAUAAGGGAAAUAAAAAUUCCUGCCUAAUUAAGGCACAGCUCCUUGGAAUUUGGGUUGCCAAACCCAAUCCCAGGUGGAUAAUGCUGAGUUGAGAGAAAAAAAGAUCUUGGACCUCAUGUGUUCAGAUUAGUAUGUUCAAUUGCCCUGGCCUCAGAGAAUCCCAAAUUCCAUACCUGAGGCAUCCCAUGGCUUCCUGUAUGAAGGCCUGGUGAAGGGAAAGGACACUGAACUGGGAAUUUGGAGAAGUGGGUUUCAAGUCUAUUUCUGCCAUUCACUAUUUGUGUAAUUUCAGACAAGUUGGAUAAUCUAUUUGGGGCUCAGUUUCCCUUAUUGUAAAGACAAAAAGUUUGAGUACAUCUCAAAGUUUUCUUUCAUAGCUUAAGUCACAGUUUCUCUCCCUUGACUGAGUGUACACUGGGAGUGCAUCUGUGUAGAGGCCCACUUUAGGGCAGUAGUUACAGGUCCGGAGGUUGUGGGUGGGACAAGUGUGAGAAACAGCUUUGCUUUUAAGGUUAUUUCUUGCUAAGUAUAAUCCAGUUGGCUAAGGAUUUUCUUCAUAAAAAAUUCUUUGUAUUUUUGUGGGUUGAUUACUGGCUUAAUGUAAUUAAACACAAUUACAAAAUUAGUACAAAUCUAUGUAAUCAGGUACUAACAAUAUGUAAUUAAGUAACUACAUCUUCUAAUUAGAGACUUGAGUAUGCAGUGCCACUUUAGAGUCCUUAUUCUACUUUGUACAAAAGUUAUGCCAAAUCUACACACAGAUCGUUUCAGACCUUGGUCUUACCCCAUAGUUGAAUGGGUGUUGUUUAUUCCUAUAAAUUAUUAACAACACAUCCCCCCCCCCUGUUUAGGUAGUAAUAACCUUGUAUUUUAUUUUCAAAUCAAAUAUUUUUUUAAACUAACUAUGACCCCAAAAUCAAUCUCAGAUUACACAAAAUAGAAGUUGUCUUAGAAAGAAUGAUUUGAAUUCUGGAAAGGGAACUCCAGAAUAGCAAAACAUGAAUAACAUUAUAGUCACAUUAUCAGUCUUUCGAAUUAGAGUUUGAUGAAUUUUCCAGGUUUUUUGUAUGCAUUUCAUUUGCAUCCAAAUAUUUGAUACAUUAUAUUUUUAUCUUUUGACAAAGUAAAAUGAGAGUUCCAUGAUGAUGGAAAUGCUCCAGAUUUGCGAGAUCCCUAGGUUUUUUCAAAUGGGUUUGCAACAACUGUCCUCCAGAGAGCACCAAGAAAACUUCAACGGUAAUCUCUUGCCCCUUUUCCAUUCUAAAGAACAGCAUGCUCUAUGAUUUGGGUGUAGCUGCCAUCUUGGUGGAAGAGAAAACCAUUUGAGAUUUAUUGAAGCCAUAUGGCUUCUAAUGACCCCCUUCCUUACAACCUGAGGGCAUCCCCUAAAAGGUAGAUGAAAUGUCCUAGGCUGGGAGUUAACAUACUUAAUUUUGGUGCCAAUUCUAUCAUUGGCCAGUGAUUUUUCUGUUUCCUCACCCAGGAUAUGUAUUUAAAAAGCGGUACCGUUUGUAUAUUUAGUAAGGUCAAAUGGACAGAGUGUAUGGAAAAGGGCAAAGAAAAAUAUAAAGCAUAUCUUUGUGUUAGGUUUUAUUCUCUAUUAUUAUUUGGGUGUUUGGGAGAUUUUUUUCCUUUAAUUUUCUCUAUCUAGGUCACUACUCCUUUUACUCAUGCAGGUGUAGCUUUUGAAAACUGGUAUUUGAUGAAACACCUCAUUUUACAGAUGAACCUGAAGCCCAGAAAGGUCAAGCAGUUUGCCUAAGGUUCAAGGUUAGCUAGCAACAGGGCUAUUUUUAGAAUGCAAUUUUCUUGACUUCCAAUUGAGUGCCCUUUCUAAUCACACUAGCGUGGUCCUUGAGGACCUAAUGGAGUUGGGGACACCAUCUACCCUUAUUGAUAUUUCUCCCAGAGGAGAGCAGCCCCUUUUUCACAAUGACACUUUUUCCUGGAGGAGAUCUGGAUGUUGAUGCUUCUCAGUAGCUCCUUUUCCUUGAGGAAAGAUAGGAGGAGGCAAGCACUGCACUUGGUGAACUAAAACAAAGCUUUCUUGGAUGAAUUAUGAAAAUUUGGGAUGGAGAUUAAAAACACAGGGUGAAUUGUCUUUGCCUUAUGCAGUGUGUGGGGUGGUGGUCUUGGACUUGAGAUGAAAUAAAGUGGGGAGGUUAUUAGGGUGGAAUCAUUGGUGGUUGUUGGUGAGAGAGAGACAUUAGUGUCAAGUAAUUUUUUUACCCUAUGAAGGGAGAUGGUUUGGUGGCUUUGGUUAGAACAAGCUGGGUGGUAAAGCCAGAACCAUGGUCUAUAAGUACUUAGGUAUCAUGUGCUUGCAAAUAUGCUUUUUUUAUGUCUUCAGCUUUUAGUGGUUACCAUUCGGUAACUCUUAACUGAAAUGGUUGGGUUUGUCAAUCUGCUUCAGGAACUUUGUCUUACAAUUGGUUCAAAAAGUGCUUUUCCUUGGGAUUUGAUAAGGAUGAUAAAAGGAUUUAUUUUGGAUGACUGAAUCCACUCUGUGGGAUGGAUUUAUAAUUUCCAGAGGAAUUAACUUAAGUAUAACUUAUAGGCCAACUAUAAUCAUGAUACAGUGUGAUUUCUUUUUAUUACCUUAUCUCUCCUUGUUAAGAAAUGAAAAAUAAAUUCUAGACAUUUUUAGUUUCUAUUCAGCUUCUCUUCUUUUAAUACUCCGUUUUUUUGGUUUCUUGUCUAUGUUCAUUGCAAUUUGCAUCCCAUACUAAACUGCCUUAGGAUUUUUAAAAACUGAAUAAUACAUUCUAAUAUCAAUUAAGGAGACUUUUCAGUGUCUUCACAUGCAGUUAUUUAAGGUUAGAUGUCAUUUCUAAAUGGACUGCAUCUCUGAAGCCCCAACUAUCUUGAUUCCCAUUCCUACUGUUGCAUGUCAUGCUAAAACUUCUCAUUUAUAAUUAAAAAAAUCCUCUCACUUUCCUGGUAUUGGGAAAGCCUGUUGAGUUUUGCAUCUCUGCACAGUGCUGAAUUGCUCAGACUCGUGCUGUGGCAACAAGAGGUUUCCUAACCCUGAAUUUUGUUGACCAUAUGGGAACCAUGGUCAGAAAGUUUAGCCAUUGCCUGUAGAAGAACAUCAAAUUAAUUCUGUUAUCAUCUGGUUUUGGUGAACAGGGACAUCAUAUACUUUGUCUACCCUGGAUCAACAGUUUUGUGUUUUUCAUUUGAUUAUUUUAAGCCCACUAUAUUGUUAAAUCAGAAAUUGUGAAGGGUCUGAGAUUUUAUUCUACAUGCCAGCUAACAAGUUAUCCUGCCAUGGUGUGGUGUGGUAUGUGUGUAUAUGUGUGAGUGAGUGUGUGUGUGUGUGUGUGUGUGUGUGUAUCUAUACUAACAGAAAACAGGAGGCCUCAGAGUCAGAGAUGCACAUAGUUCAUUAUAUACAGCAAAGGCUACAGCUACUUAGCACCAAGUCUUCAAGUCCCAGUCUUUGCAUGGUGAUAUGGUGAGGGUCAGAUGGUAACUGCACAUGUGGUAGGGUGCAUCAUAGGAGAGGGACCCCACAAUAGGGAGGUUCUAAUCUUAUAUAGGGUCUUGGCAACCUGCCAGUGCCUCACUGCCAAAAAGAGAGACCUUACUUUUUCUCUGGAAAGUAAGACAAUCUUCUCUAGGCUGAGAAGAAGACAUCUUAAUCUUUACUACCCUGGAAUGUCUCUGGGGAAGGAUCUUUAAGCUUUACUAUAUUGGCCAGGAAACAAAUCUUUCCUCUAAUAUGAAGGGAUACACUAUUUCUAGUUUCUAAGGAUGUUUGCUAUUCAAACAAUUUCGUGAAGAGAUAGUUUAAGGUAUAUAUAAACUCCAGAUUCAUGGAGAAUUAUCUUUCAGCAUAUAUGUAGGCAACAUCUUUCCCCUAAACAAAUAAAUAAUCAAAAACCAAAAACACAUAAACAUCUGUGGCCCCUCAUGAACUACAGUGUAAAAUCUAAACUUCUUGGCUUGGCAUUUAAGGUUCUUCACUACCUGCCCCCUUUUACAAUUCUCCAUCUUUAAUUUUUUUUUUUGACGUUUUUAUUUAUUUUUGGGACAGAGAGAGACAGAGCAUGAACAGGGGAGGGGCAGAGAGAGAGGGAGACACAGAAUCGGAAACAGGCUCCAGGCUCUGAGCCAUCAGCCCAGAGCCUGAUGCGGGGCUCGAACUCACUGACUGCGAGAUCGUGACCUGGCUGAAGUCGGAUGCUUAACCGACUGCGCCACGCAGGCGCCCCACAAUUCUCCAUCUUUAAUCCUCUGCUUGGACAUAACUGGUCUUCUCGUCAUUGGCUUUUUCCCUCCACAUUGUCUCUCUCUUUAUGGCCUUUAUUCAUAUAUUCUCCUGUUCUUGGCAUGACCUUCCUCCUUUCCUUUCUUUUUUUUAAUGUUUAUUUUUUAUAUUUGAGAGAGAGAGAGAGAGAG